RNAcentral lists this ribosomal RNA (561 nucleotides) under uncultured bacterium. RNAcentral describes it as "bacterial SSU rRNA". It matches the Rfam family "Bacterial small subunit ribosomal RNA", at positions 51 to 609 of the family's 1533-position model. The record is from RNAcentral.
ACACAUGCAAGUCGAACGGUAACAUUUCUAGCUUGCUAGAAGAUGACGAGUGGCGGACGGGUGUGUAAUGCUUGGGAACUUGCCUUUGCGAGGGGGAUAACAGUUGGAAACGACUGCUAAUACCGCAUAAUGUCUUCGGACCAAACGGGGCUUCGGCUCCGGCGCAAAGAGAGGCCCAAGUGAGAUUAGCUAGUUGGUAAGGUAACGGCUUACCAAGGCGACGAUCUCUAGCUGUUCUGAGAGGAAGAUCAGCCACACUGGGACUGAGACACGGCCCAGACUCCUACGGGAGGCAGCAGUGGGGAAUAUUGCACAAUGGGGGAAACCCUGAUGCAGCCAUGCCGCGUGUGUGAAGAAGGCCUUCGGGUUGUAAAGCACUUUCAGUUGUGAGGAAAAGUUAGUAGCUAAUACCUGCUAGCCGUGACGUUAACAACAGAAGAAGCACCGGCUAACUCCGUGCCAGCAGCCGCGGUAAUACGGAGGGUGCGAGCGUUAAUCGGAAUUACUGGGCGUAAAGCGCACGCAGGCGGUUUGUUAAGCUAUAUGUGAAAGCCCCGGGCU